GAUGAAGAACGUAGCGAAAUGCGAUAAGUAAUGUGAAUUGCAGAAUUCAGUGAAUCAUCGAAUCUUUGAACGCACAUUGCGCCCUUUGGCAUUCCGAAGGGCACACCUAUCCGAGCGCCGUCGCACAACUGAGGCGCAGCCUUGCGUUGGCGGGCGACUUGUGAGUAGCGAGUCGCCGCCCAAACGAGACGGCGCCGCGCCGCGGCCGACGAAGCACGAAAGCGGAAGUCGACGCGGAGGCGGUUGCCUGUAGGAAGACACAGCUUGGCCUCGGAUCAGGUGGGGAUACCCGCUGAACUUAAGCAUAUCAAUAAGCGGAGGA
Molecule: unclassified non-coding RNA, 322 nt
Filed under: soil metagenome
Description: partial contains 5.8S ribosomal RNA, internal transcribed spacer 2, and large subunit ribosomal RNA
Rfam family: 5.8S ribosomal RNA (bases 1-120)
Source: RNAcentral